This 446-nucleotide ribosomal RNA is filed under the name uncultured bacterium. RNAcentral describes it as "partial 16S ribosomal RNA". It matches the Rfam family "Bacterial small subunit ribosomal RNA", at positions 338 to 795 of the family's 1533-position model. The record is from RNAcentral.
CCUACGGGUGGCAGCAGUCGAGAAUCAUUCACAAUGGGGGAAACCCUGAUGGUGCGACGCCGCGUGGGGGAAUGAAGGUCUUCGGAUUGUAAACCCCUGUCAUGUGGGAGCAAAUUAAAAAGAUAGUACCACAAGAGGAAGAGACGGCUAACUCUGUGCCAGCAGCCGCGGUAAUACAGAGGUCUCAAGCGUUGUUCGGAAUCACUGGGCGUAAAGCGUGCGUAGGCUGUUUCGUAAGUCGUGUGUGAAAGGCGCGGGCUCAACCCGCGGACUGCACAUGAUACUGCGAGACUAGAGUAAGGGAGAGGGAACCGGAAUUCUCGGUGUAGCAGUGAAAUGCGUAGAUAUCGGGAGGAACACGCGUGGCGAAGGCGGGUUCCUGGACAUUAACUGACGCUGAGGCACGAAGGCCAGGGGAGCGAAAGGGAUUAGAUACCCCUGUAGUC